RNAcentral lists this ribosomal RNA (500 nucleotides) under uncultured bacterium. Its description in RNAcentral is "partial 16S ribosomal RNA". It matches the Rfam family "Bacterial small subunit ribosomal RNA", at positions 30 to 523 of the family's 1533-position model. The record is from RNAcentral.
AUUGAACGCUGGCGGCAUGCCUUACACAUGCAAGUCGAACGGUAACGGGUCCAUCGGGAUGCCGACGUGUGGAGAAAGGGUCAGUAAUAUAUUGGAACGUGCCCAGGUGUGGGGGAUAACCGCCCGAAAGAGCAGCUAAUAGCGCAUAAGGCCCGAGGGUGGAAGGGGGGGAUCGCCAGUCGCACCGCUAUUUGAGAGGCAGAUAUCAGAUUAGCUAGUUGGUGGGGUAAAUGACUACCAAGGCAACGAUCUGUAGUUGGUCUGAGAGGACGACCAGCCACACUGGGACUGAGACACGGCCCAGACUCCUACGGGAGGCAGCAGUGGGGAAUUUUGGACAAUGGGCGCAAGCCUGAUCCAGCAAUGCCGCGUGCAUGAAGAAGGCCUUCGGGUUGUAAACCGCUUUUGUCAGGGAAGAAAUCUUCUGGGCUAAUACCCCGGGAGGAUGACGGUACCUGAAGAAUAAGCACCGGCUAACUACGUGCCAGCCGCCGCAGUAA